Molecule: ribosomal RNA, 527 nt
Filed under: bacterium T-1-0-8C
Lineage: Bacteria
Description: bacterial SSU rRNA
Rfam family: Bacterial small subunit ribosomal RNA
Source: RNAcentral
UGGACGAAAGUCUGAUGGAGCAACGCCGCGUGAGUGAUGAAGGUUUUCGGAUCGUAAAACUCUGUUGUAAGGGAAGAACAAGUGCGUGUAGGUAAUGAACGCACCUUGACGGUACCUUAUUAGAAAGCCACGGCUAACUACGUGCCAGCAGCCGCGGUAAUACGUAGGUGGCAAGCGUUGUCCGGAUUUAUUGGGCGUAAAGCGCGCGCAGGUGGUUUCUUAAGUCUGAUGUGAAAGCCCACGGCUCAACCGUGGAGGGUCAUUGGAAACUGGGGAACUUGAGUGCAGAAGAGGAUAGUGGAAUUCCAAGUGUAGCGGUGAAAUGCGUAGAGAUUUGGAGGAACACCAGUGGCGAAGGCGACUGUCUGGUCUGUAACUGACACUGAGGCGCGAAAGCGUGGGGAGCAAACAGGAUUAGAUACCCUGGUAGUCCACGCCGUAAACGAUGAGUGCUAAGUGUNAGGGGGUUUCCGCCCCUUAGUGCUGCAGCUAACGCAUNAAGCACUCCGCCUGGGGAGUACGACCGC